This is a long non-coding RNA of Columba livia (rock pigeon), 1914 nucleotides long. RefSeq lists it as uncharacterized. The record is from RefSeq and is a predicted model, not a curated record. The transcript has 4 exons. NCBI's taxonomy places the organism in Eukaryota, Metazoa, Chordata, Aves, Columbiformes, Columbidae.
AUGUAUCUUGUGAAAUUAAUCUAUCUUUUGUGAAAUUAAUCUGUCUCUAUCUCAGGUGUGAUUUACCACUUCAGCAACAAGAGCUGAUUCUGCUCUCAAAACCACUUGAGUUUGUGGAAAAAUACAAAGUCAAAACAGAACCAAUUUUUUCCUGGGAUUGUUCCAGCAUGGGUUUUCUGCAAGUUUCAUCUUUGAAAGAGUCUUCAAAAGUGUCUGCUUGCUUUAUUACAUUAUGGGUAAACUUUCCAUGUGAGGAUGAAGUAAAAACGUGUUUUCAGAAAUUGUGAACCCAAUUCUUGAAUAAAAGAGAAUUUGCAGGGGGAGAAUUCUGGCUGUUUGGACUGUAUUUGCUGCCUGAACCUCCAUCCCUGUUUUGCCUAAGGAAAGAUAUAGCAGGUUGGAUGGAAAAAACCUGUGGAGUGAACCUGAGCCACAAGCUGCCAGUUGGACUUUGAGGACUGGAUUAUUGAGAAUGGCAAGUGAUGCAAAGCGAAAAAUAUAGAUAAAUUCAGAAUACUGCUUGGUGUGACAGAGGAAAGUUAAAUCUCAUAGUGAAAGUGUAAUGAUGGUGAACAACUAAGGAGCAUAAGAUAUUGUGAAGAUGCCUGGCAUCCUAGUGAUUAGAAAGGCAAUAUCUCCUGAAGUAUUCUCACUUAAAAUAGAUUAGCUGUUUAUUAGGUGUGGUGUAUGCAGUUUGAGAAAUGCACAGGAAGAAUUACUUUUCUACUUCAUAAGCUCAUUCCCUUGUUAUUCACUAACCUGUUGUCAUCCCUACAGGCUCCAGCCCAGACCUCUCAUUAAUCACAGUUGGAGAGCUUUGUAGUUCUCACACCAGGGGAAGGAGCUGAGUUUGUAGUUCCCAGCAAUCUUCUUUAUGCUCCUCUAUUCUUGACCAAACAUCUUAUUUCUGGUGGAGUGCGGAUACCAUCAGUGAUAAUGCUUGCAUCUAAAUGGGCAAAGAAACUUCAGCAAUGGUGUUACUUAAAUUUCUUUUGUAAACAAAAAGAGAAAAGCACAUUUUUGCAAAACAGACAAGUGCAAAAAUGCUGAAAGUUCUUCGGUGAUGAUACAAAGCAACAUGCAGAACUAGGUACAUUCUGCUCCCAGCUGCUCUGAAAGUCCUGGAUGACAAAGUUCAAUUCAAGUUGCUCUAGAUUUUCACUAGUGCAAGGAAGAGCAAAAUCUAGCACAUUUUAAAAAUCUUUUGCCUUCCUUAUGAUACCAAAAUUUGAAGAGAAAAACAUUCUGUUUUCAUAUCUUAGAAAAUCCUGAUUGUGCAGAAUUCUGCAUACAGAGCUGGAGCCUGGAGCACAGCAGGUGCAGAUAUAUGCUUCUAAUAAUAUUGGGAUCUUAGAUUUUUUUCUUGUUAAUUGAACUAAAUACUGUUAAAAGAUUGUAUCAGUAUGUGUAUAAUACUGUUUCUUUAAAAUACCUAGUGUUUCAAAGCAACAGUAUUAUUAUGAGACCCUGCCUAAAUACAGGAUGUUUCAAAAAGAUCCAGCAUGUUACAAUUACACAAAGAUUUACAAAGGGUUCAAUGAGUUAUCAAGUUUUAGUGACCUUUUUAUAAAUGCUCUAUGUUCCCUCCACGUGCUGUACGGACUAUAAGAGUUUCAUUAACGGGUGGUUUGUGGUUGCAAAGAUAUAGUGAUUUCAAAAUAGGUCCGUCUUUUUGAAACAGUCUGUAGAACUGGGAUACAAACAGAAAAUAAAAUAAAACAUGUAUUUUUCUUGAAAGGUCUGCAUUUUUUAAGCUCAGAUCUGUGACCUUCCUAGAAAGGCAUUUACAAAGACAAUGGUAAAUUGAGGAUAUUCCAUGUUAUAAGAGGUCAGUUCUUUCAUUUGUAUGACUGUUCCUCCAAAAACUUUUAAAAGUUUCACAAUAAACUCAGUCAAGAGGCUUUUAUAUUAAAA